This 492-nucleotide ribosomal RNA is filed under the name uncultured bacterium. RNAcentral's name for it is "partial 16S ribosomal RNA". It matches the Rfam family "Bacterial small subunit ribosomal RNA", at positions 29 to 507 of the family's 1533-position model. The record is from RNAcentral.
AGUGAACGCUGGCGGUAGGCCUAACACAUGCAAGUCGAACGGCAGCACAGUAAGAGCUUGCUCUUACGGGUGGCGAGUGUCGGACGGGUGAGGUAUACAUCGGAAUCUACUUUUUCGUGGGGGAUAACGUAGGGAAACUUACGCUAAUACCGCAUACGACCUACGGGUGAAAGCAGGGGAUCUUCGGACCUUGCGCGAUUGAAUGAGCCGCUGUCGGAUUAGCUAGUUGGCGGGGUAAAGGCCCACCAAGGCGACGAUCCGUAGCUGGUCUGAGAGGAUGAUCAGCCACCCGGGAACUGAGACACGGUCCCGACUCCUAGGGGAGGCCGCAGUGGGGAAUAUUGGACAAUGGGGGCGAGCCUGAUCCAGCCAUACCGCGUGGGUGAAGAAGGCCUUCGGGUUGUAAAGCCCUUUUGUUGGGAAAGAAAAGCAGCAGGUUAAUACCCCGCUGUUCUGACGGUACCCAAAGAAUAAGCACCGGCUAACUUCGUG